GGCUUAAAAUCUCCCCAUGUGAGGGGAUGUGUUUCCUUCAGCCUCUGCUGUCUGGCCGCUCUGUCUAGGUCCUGGGCCACGGGAGAGCCCCGUCCCUCCUUUCUGAAGCCCCCUGACUUGGGCCUCAGUGUCCCCGAAGAUCAUGAUGGCGUAUAUGAACCCGGGGCCCCACUAUUCUGUCAACGCCUUGGCCCUAAGUGGCCCCAGUGUGGAUCUGAUGCACCAGGCUGUGCCCUACCCAACGCCCCCAGGAAGCAGCGGCGGGAGCGCACCACCUUCACCCGGAGCCAACUGGAGGAGCUGGA
RNAcentral lists this long non-coding RNA (305 nucleotides) under Homo sapiens (human). RNAcentral describes it as "long non-coding RNA NONHSAT067007.2". Lineage: Eukaryota; Metazoa; Chordata; Mammalia; Primates; Hominidae. The record is from RNAcentral.